UACAGAGGGUGCGAGCGUUGUUCGGAAUUACUGGGCGUAAAGCGUGCGCAGGCGGUUCUCCAAGUCCGUUGUGAAAGCCCCGGGCUCAACCUGGGAAUGGCAGUGGAAACUAGGGGACUUGAAUCUGGCAGAGGGGGGUGGAAUUCCACGUGUAGCAGUGAAAUGCGUAGAGAUGUGGAGGAACACCGAUGGCGAAGGCAGCCCCCUGGGCUGAGAUUGACGCUCAGGCACGAAAGCGUGGGGAGCAAACAGG
RNAcentral lists this ribosomal RNA (253 nucleotides) under uncultured bacterium. RNAcentral describes it as "partial 16S ribosomal RNA". It matches the Rfam family "Bacterial small subunit ribosomal RNA", at positions 524 to 776 of the family's 1533-position model. The record is from RNAcentral.